Non-coding RNA from Taxawa tesnikishii (nom. ined.), 118 nucleotides. NCBI's taxonomy places the organism in Eukaryota, Fungi, Ascomycota, Dothideomycetes, Dothideales. The record is from the annotation of a GenBank genome assembly.
GUGGUGGUCUAGUUGGUAUGACGUCUCGGGUGCUGAUACCGACCGUUUGCUUGACUUGGGUCUCGCAGUUCUGGUCCUUGAGUUGGAGAAGCGCAGUGUUCAAAUCCUGCCGGCUCCA